GGCACAUCUCUGCUGGUGGUCGGAGGCUGAGAGCAGCCUCGUCCACCGUGGGGGCAGUGCUGGUCAGAACAGCGGUGCCCCCGCCCAGCCUCCGGAUGGAGGUGUGGCGCCCUUCGCGGUGGGUGGUGUUCACAGGGGGCUGGCUCCCUGGGGACAGUUUUCUGGAAUCCUCGCUGUGGCCCUGCCUGCCCGUUUCUGCGCCCAAUGGCCAGCCUUCCCAUGAGUCUGCAAGCUAGCUCACCUCCUGCGGAAUAAAUCCCCCUUUCUUCUUCGGUCUGCCCAAGUUGGUGCCAUUGCCAGCAACCAAGAAUGCUGGCCGAGACCCUGUGUCACUUCUUCCAGAAGCCGCUCCCAGGAGAGAAGUCGGGGUGCCUGCCUGCUCCCCAGGGAGAACCAGGAGCCUGUGGAGCUGGCGUUGGCCCUUCGGUUGCUGCUAUCGGAGGCGACUGCAAACUCGGGUGCAGACGGGGCCAGGUGCUGGGGAUCCGAAGAUCCAGGUGUGCGUCAUGUAAGGGGCCAGACAGGGAAAGGUGUGCCUGCUGUUGUCCAACUACGUGGCUCAGGUGGCAGUCCUGGAAGGCUCCGGAGAGGAGAUGAGAAGCCAGCUGUCACUCCUGGCUGCACCCCAGUGACUCCAUGCCACCCCCCACUGUGCCCCGUGGGAUCUCCCGGCUCCACCUAAGACAUGCGUGCUACAGGCGGUCGCUCUCCCGAGCGUGCACAUGGAAACCUCAGCAGCGGUUCCUACUCCCUGUUUGCCUCACACAUUCUCCCUUGCAAGCAGGCAAGUGCCGUGCGGAAACCCCCUGAGACAGCUGACGCCUGUGUCCCAACACCCUGGGCCUGGAAAGCAGGCCCUCAGCGUGGACAGGGUGUCAGGGCUGGGGCUGGCCCGCAGGGCAGCAGGGCGCAGGUGGGGCAGAAAUGGGACCACCUGAGGCCUGCGUAGGUGUGAGCGUGUGGCCUCCUGCCAGAGGUGGGCCUGCAGGGAGGGAGAAGAAGGGGAUACCCAAGAAGAGAGGAUGAGACCAGGUAAGGCUGGGAGACCUUAAGUUGCUGGGACCACCAGUCUGGGUGCGAGGAUUGCUUUGGAGUGUGUAUCAUGGAGAACCCAGAGAACUUCUGCUCCUGUUGUCAGUAAGUUCACGCGCAGAGGGAGACGUCCGAGGCUGAGGCCCUGGGCUGCUCCGCCACCCCGUUCACCUCCGAGCUCCAAGGGCUGGGGCUCGGGGUGGGCACUUGCCCUGGUAGGGAUGAUGUCAGCAUCCCACGUCAGAGCACCUGGGUUUGAUCCCCGGCUCCGUACCUGGCUCCAGCUUCCUGCCAACGCACACCCUGGGAGGCAACAGCUAUGGCUCAAAUGAUUUGUUUCCUGCCGCCCAGCUGAAUAAGAAUUCAGGAUGGAAGCGGAAGCCCCACCUGUAGCCUUAUGUCUGUCCGCGUUCCUGGAGGGAGAGAGUGUGGCGUCCGGGGACAGCAGCGCCAGCCCGAGCCUGGAGCGCGCCGGCCCAUCUGGUUUUAUUUCACUCCGUGUUAUUCAUCAGGAUGUGUUAGCCGGGAGGUAUUUGAUGUUCAGGAAGAAUUCUGGAGCUUUUGAAAGAAGUAAAUAAAAUCUUUUAUCCCCUAAAGAGUCGUGAAAUUGCACUGGGGGAGGAGACGGCGGGCACCCUGUGA
Molecule: non-coding RNA, 1674 nt
Organism: Oryctolagus cuniculus (rabbit)
Lineage: Eukaryota; Metazoa; Chordata; Mammalia; Lagomorpha; Leporidae
Source: RefSeq, a predicted model, not a curated record